CAUGAGGCCUCUGGUAUAUGCAAAUGGCAAGUUGAUGGGCUCUGCCGACCUUGAUCCAUCAGUGCAACUCCAGGAGAUGGUGGCAGAUCCGAUACCGGAGCUUCUGACAGCAUGUUCCAGUCUGAAACUAACUCUAAGCUUGCUCCUCAUCGUCACCUGCAGAGAAUAUCGAUUUGGGAUAAUGUAGAACUUACUCGGCAAAGAUCAUGACACAGAAAAAGUCUGAGAAGGUGGUAACGGUUUUUUUAGCAACAGCGGCAGCUAAAGCAGCCGGAGAAUUAAUGGCAAAAUGAUCACUCUUACAGGUUUGAGGUCCAGAUGACAGCUGCGAGAGCUCGUUUAGAAAGAAGCUUCCGACGUACGUAUUCCACUCCUUCUGCAAUUCAAGAUUCUCUGGUGAUGCAAGUGAUGGGAGAGAAGUAGUUUGGACCAUGAUGUCUUUUAGCCGAUUGAGAGCUGAAUUACACGAAUCCAUAGAGUUCUCUAGCUUCGACUUCAAGGAUUUUAAGAGUUGAGGAGGGAUCAAAUCUCCUUGCCUCAUCUCCCUGGUAGGAUCACUCUCGGUCGAUUGGACUACAAGUAUGUCCCAAAGAUCUUUCUGGUAGUUUAUAGCUUUGCUCAA
Non-coding RNA from Physcomitrium patens, 622 nucleotides. Lineage: Eukaryota; Viridiplantae; Streptophyta; Bryopsida; Funariales; Funariaceae. The record is from RefSeq and is a predicted model, not a curated record.